This 305-nucleotide ribosomal RNA is filed under the name uncultured bacterium. RNAcentral's name for it is "bacterial SSU rRNA". It matches the Rfam family "Bacterial small subunit ribosomal RNA", at positions 333 to 635 of the family's 1533-position model. The record is from RNAcentral.
CGCUACCUACGGGAGGCAGCAGUGAGGAAUAUUGGUCAAUGGGUGGUAGCCUGAACCAGCCAAGUAGCGUGAAGGAUGAAGGUUCUAUGGAUUGUAAACUUCUUUUAUAAAGGAAUAAAGUGAGGCACGUGUGCCUUUUUGUAUGUACUUUAUGAAUAAGGAUCGGCUAACUCCGUGCCAGCAGCCGCGGUAAUACGCAGGAUCCGAGCGUUAUCCGGAUUUUUUGGGUUUAAAGGGAGCGUAGAUGGGUUGUUAAGUCAGUUGUGAAAGUUUGCGGCUCCACCGUAAAAUUGCAAUUGAUACUG